RNAcentral lists this long non-coding RNA (319 nucleotides) under Scleropages formosus (Asian bonytongue). RNAcentral describes it as "lncRNA (ENSSFOG00015026738.1)". Lineage: Eukaryota; Metazoa; Chordata; Actinopteri; Osteoglossiformes; Osteoglossidae. The record is from RNAcentral.
AGGAUAGGUUCCAGUCCACAGCAGUCCUGCAAUGGAUGGAUGGACAGUUAUACAUGCAUCCCAUCCAGACUGCCACGAUCCUCACUUGGAUGAGCCGUUGUUGUGCGAAGAAAGAAGAAAUGAGAAAACAUUUCAGUCUGAAUGCUCGCUGUGUUCUUCAGAAAGGAGUGCGAAGCAAGGCAAGGGAUCACAAGCUGCAAGUCGAAAAGCCCAUCGCCGUGCCUCUUACCUGCCCUGACAGACGCACCCGACAUCUGUUGAUGUCCUCGGGCAUUCCAGCGAUCGUCAUUCCCUGACAAAUGGCGCCAUUAGUAUGCAG